CCACCAUGGCAACAGUGGCUCCCUGGCAACCGGCGGGAGGAGAGAGACUCAGGGGUGGGGUCCGAUGGGACGUCGAGUCUCCUGCGGCUGCCAGGCCCCGGAAGCGUGCGGGAAGGGAACUGUGGCUGGGCUACGAGGGGACGGGUCCUUGGCACUGUGAUGGCGGUGUGAGGCCACUGGAUCUUGUUAUGCCGUUGUUUGCUGGAUUAAAGAGCCCUGCCCUCUGCUAUCAGAAAUCUGCUCCCAAUAAAGCAUCUAACCCCUAUUCAUCAAAAUGGUACAAAGCUUCAAGUCCUGUUCAGCUCAUCACUAGAUCAAGACACCCAUGUUGUAUCAGUGGUGAAAUAUGCCUUUUUCUACCUUCAGCUGACAAGUAGAACUUCACACCUAGCUCCCAGAUGAUGAUCUGGCCAAAAUGAUCCAUAUAUUCAUCACCUCCAGACUGAAAUGCUGCAACACGCUAUGAGGCAGAUAUAGUAUGUUAACACUGCUUUCAUUAGCAAAUGAAAUUUUUCCAGAAUAGCUGUUGAGAGCUUUAAAACUCCUUUGCCAUCUAAUGCUGCCAUUCCAUCUGGGAAAGUCCAAGUUACUUUAUGUAUAACUUUGUCUGGGAAUAGUAUUCCAUCAAUUACAAGCCCUGAUACCAGACAGUUCUAUCAGUCUUUCUCCAUUCUGAUUUUAGAAACCAAGGUCAUGCUUGCCCAUUGCUUUAUCCAUUCUGUCAUCAUAAUCCCCAAUGUUGGCACUGAAGUCCACCAUUAUUAAGCAAAUGUCAUGCUUGGAAAUAUUGUCAGAGUUUGUUGGCAACUGUAGAAAUGAUCACUGAUCUUACUGUGGUUGUCUGUUGGUGCAUAACACUGUAUAAUUGUCAUACUCGUAUCAUGUUUGAAACAAUCUGCGGUUAAUCAGCUCCCACUGUCUAUAUGAUUUUUUUCUUUGGAAGUCAUAGUUAAUGCUAUUCCUGAGCACUAACCAUCUUGCCUUCCCAAUUACACUGACCUUUUUUUAAAAAAUGCUUUUUAUCAGCUCUUGGCCAUUGACAUUAAUGUACUUCAAGAAUUUCAAAAUUGUGUGUCUCCAUUUCUUUCAUCACCUGCACAGCUCUUGUUGUUUCAUCCAUUGUUGAAAUGUUCCAGAAAACUACUUUCAGUUUAUUUUGCCUUUAGUAUAACAAAGGUUUUACCAAUGUGUUAUAAUCAAGUUUUUCCAUAGAUUCAAAUAUUUUCUCUGAUAAGGUUAAAUCUUCUGUUUUAGAUGUGACAGUGUAUGUGAAUUUCAAAAGGGAUAAUUGGAAAUGAAGUGAGAGUGCUGAAGAGGGACAAUUCAGAGCUCACCACACAGGAACAGUGGAACAGAGGUGGUUUGCAUCUCUCCUAUACUGGGACUGCAGGUUAGGGUAGCCCAGUGGUUCUCAACCAGGGGUAUGCGUACCCCAGGGGGUACACAGAGGUCUUCCAGGAGAUACAUCAAAUCUUCUAGAUGUUUGCCUAGUUUUACAACAGGUUACAUAAAA
Molecule: long non-coding RNA, 1513 nt
Organism: Chelonia mydas (Green sea turtle)
Lineage: Eukaryota; Metazoa; Chordata; Testudines; Cheloniidae
Exons: 3
Source: RefSeq, a predicted model, not a curated record